RNAcentral lists this non-coding RNA (250 nucleotides) under Lactonifactor longoviformis. Its description in RNAcentral is "T-box sequence". It matches the Rfam family "T-box leader". Rfam says of the family: Uncharged tRNA acts as the effector for transcription antitermination of genes in the T-box leader family. T-boxes are found upstream of many aminoacyl-tRNA synthetase genes and some amino acid biosynthetic genes usually in Gram-positive bacteria. The anticodon of a specific tRNA base pairs to a specifier sequence within the T-box motif, and the NCCA acceptor tail of the tRNA base pairs to a conserved bulge in the T-box antiterminator hairpin. The record is from RNAcentral. Lineage: Bacteria; Bacillati; Bacillota; Clostridia; Eubacteriales; Clostridiaceae.
AACAAACCAAUGAGCAAGAGUAGUAGGUAAAAAUAUUUAUUUCCAGAGAGCUGCUGGUGGUGGGAUAGCAGCAAUAACAGUUUUUAUUGAAUGGACUUGCGAGGGCGGCUUGAAAUCUUCCUGGAAGAGAGUAGACACCGACGGGAGCCUUAUCCGUUAUCAACAGGGCAUGUAUGUCAGUGCAUGAUAGAGUGGCCGAUUAGUGAUCGGCAAUUUGGGUGGUACCGCAGAGUUUGCCUCUGUCCCUUCG